ACCACUCACUCAGGGGGAAGCCAGUUGCCAUGUCAUGAAAACAUUCAAGCAGCUCUCUGGAGAAGUCCACUUGGCAAGGAACAGAGGUCUCCUGCCAAAAUCAGAAAGGAAUCGAGACUCCCUGCAAACAGUCAUGUGAAUGAGCCCUCUUGGAAGUGGGUUGUCCAGCCCCAGUCAAUCCUUCAGAUGAUGCAGAUCCAGCUAUAAAGACUCUGAGCCUCAACUAUCAGCUAAGCCACUCCAGGUGCCUGACCCACAGGAACUGUGAGAUGAUAAAUGUCUGAUAUUUCAAGCUGCUUAAUUUUGGGGGUAAUUUGUUAUACAGCAAUGGAUAACUAAUACAAGUCCUAAAACUAAAUGAAAGAGCUGUGCAGGAAUAAGAUACACAAAUUGGAGUUACAUUCUCGACCAGGAAUUGGCUCCUGGGGUUUUACAUCAGUCAUCAUGGAUGCUCCACCUCAUCCGCUAGCCUUAUCUGAGGGUACCUGCUACCAGAGAAGAUGGCGUCUGGCAUUCCAUCACAGCUUCCCAGUACAGAUAACCUGCCGCUCCCUUCUUCUCUGAUCGGGUCUUCUGUUGACAUCAGAGGAGCUUGCUCCACAAAACGAGGCGGUGAUAUCAAGGAUGACCUCAGGAGACCAGCCUGCUAUAGUGGGGAGACCUCUGGACCUGCAGAUAAAAGAUCUGUGUUCAAGAAUCACCUGUGUAUUCACAGACAUGAGAUCUAUACCAAGUCAUUUUACUUUUCCAAAUCUUCAUUUUCUCACCUUAAAGUGGGGCUAACGAUAUUUCACAGAUAUGGUUAAAUUGACAAGAUGUACAUGAAAUGGUCUGGCAUGACACAAAUAGCAAAUGCUACUAGACUGUUAGUUAAAUUUAAAUCUGAGAAUCAUAGCAUUAGAGAAGAAUUCAUACAUAAUCUUGCCUCUCCCUUCUCAGAAAGAGAAGAGCUAGAAGCCACAAGAAAUUUAAACUGAGGGACACACUAUGGAGAUUUGGGUUAUUGCCGUCUUGUUCCAAAGGGAGAUUUUUAUUGUUUGACCAUACAAUUUAAUUUCAAAUAAGGUGAUUCUACACUCAGAUGGAGCUACAAUCCAGUGUAACAGUAUAUAGCUAUCUAAAGAUAUUCCCAAGUCAAUCUAUAAAUGGUUUAGCAAUAAUUACUCAUGUUUGCUAACCAUUCCCACUACUCUAGCUUUAGGGUGAGAAAAUUCUACAUUAUCUUUUAUUAGAGUUUUUCAGAUGCCUGAUGUUUGUCGCCUUUGUUAUGUUUUUGAAUACAUGGUGUAAGGAGGACAAUGUUUGAACAGUUACAUUCCCACAUUUCUAUUGCAAGUAUGAAUAUAGCUGACACAAC
Pan paniscus (pygmy chimpanzee) is the source of this 1357-nucleotide long non-coding RNA. The record is from Ensembl. NCBI's taxonomy places the organism in Eukaryota, Metazoa, Chordata, Mammalia, Primates, Hominidae.